UACAUAUCACUGUGAUAAUCCAUAUCUUCUCAGUUUUGGCACAUCAUAGUUUUAUGAUUAGGUUUAUUGUAAACAAUUCUUAGACCCUAUUUUAUUCGUAACAUUCUGAAAAGUUCAUAGAGAAAAAAACAUAGGACUAUGAUCUCAUUAUCAUCUUGGAUCCUACGGUAAUGAGCUAUGUUUGUUUGAACCGUAGGAAAAUGAUGGUAUUAUUUGCAACACCCUCGAGAGUGUAACCCAAGUGAAGCC
Molecule: long non-coding RNA, 249 nt
Filed under: Hordeum vulgare
Lineage: Eukaryota; Viridiplantae; Streptophyta; Magnoliopsida; Poales; Poaceae
Description: long non-coding RNA (HVUL_LNC019244)
Source: RNAcentral